RNAcentral lists this ribosomal RNA (490 nucleotides) under uncultured bacterium. RNAcentral's name for it is "partial 16S ribosomal RNA". It matches the Rfam family "Bacterial small subunit ribosomal RNA", at positions 29 to 507 of the family's 1533-position model. The record is from RNAcentral.
GUGAACGCUGGCGGUAGGCCUAACACAUGCAAGUCGAACGGCAGCACAGUAAGAGCUUGCUCUUACGGGUGGCGAGUGGCGGACGGGUGAGGAAUACAUCGGAAUCUACUUUUUCGUGGGGGAUAACGUAGGGAAACUUACGCUAAUACCGCAUACGACCUACGGGUGAAAGCAGGGGAUCUUCGGACCUUGCGCGAUUGAAUGAGCCGAUGUCGGAUUAGCUAGUUGGCGGGUAAAGGCCCACCAAGGCGACGAUCCGUAGCUGGUCUGAGAGGAUGAUCAGCCACACUGGAACUGAGACACGGUCCAGACUCCUACGGGAGGCAGCAGUGGGGAAUAUUGGACAAUGGGCGCAAGCCUGAUCCAGCCAUACCGCGUGGGUGAAGAAGGCCUUCGGGUUGUAAAGCCCUUUUGUUGGGAAAGAAAAGCAGCAGGUUAAUACCCCGCUGUUCUGACGGUACCCAAAGAAUAAGCACCGGCUAACUUCGUG